RNAcentral lists this long non-coding RNA (3441 nucleotides) under Manihot esculenta (cassava). RNAcentral's name for it is "long non-coding RNA (MESC_LNC008230)". The record is from RNAcentral. Lineage: Eukaryota; Viridiplantae; Streptophyta; Magnoliopsida; Malpighiales; Euphorbiaceae.
UCUCCUUCAAGUUAGUGCAUAGAUAUCACACAUGCCCAACUUGCAAACCAACAUGUGAUGAGUCUUGUUACUGAGACCUUUGGUAAACACAUCAGCUAUCUGUUCAUCGAAAAUCACAUGAUCUAACCUUAAGACAUCAUUUAUUAACUUCUUUUUAAUGAAGUGUUGAUCAAUCUCUAUGUACUUCGUUCGAUCAUGUUGAACCGGAUUGUGAGCUAUACUGAUGGCAGUUUUAUUGUCACAGUACAAUAGGAGUUUGUCCAUCUCCAACCAUUUUAAUUCCUCUAACAAUCUCUGCAACCAUGGGAAUUCACGAACACCUCUCUACAACCGUAGGAAUUCACAAACACCUUGUGCCAUCGCUCUAUAUUCCGCCUCAGCACUUGAUGGAGCAACAACACUUUGCUUUUUUACUUUUUCAAGUGACAAGGUUUCUCCCACAAGUGUGCAGUAACCACUAGUUGACCUUCUAUCAUGAAGGGAUCCAGUCCAAUCUACAUCUGUGAAUGCAUGUAUGCGAAAAUGACCGUAUUUAGAGAAUAGGAGACAUUUUCCAAGAGCAGACUUCAAGUAUCGCAAAAUGCGAAAAACAGCUUUCAUGUGAGACUCGCAAGGAUCAUGCAUAAACUGACUGUCUAAGCUAAUUGGAUAUGCCAUGUCUGGUCGAGUAUGCGAAAGAUAAAUCAGUCUGUCUAACAACCUAUGAUAUCUGUCAAUAUCCAUUCAUUCACCAACCCUGCUUGUAUCUUGUGAUUGCUCUUGUUGAAUCCCACAUCGGUUGUGGAAAAGGGUAAUGUGCUCCUUAUAUGGGCCAUAGGCACUCCUCUCCCUCGAGCUAACUUUUGGGGUGAGUUAGGCUUGGCCCAAAUUUAAGAUGGUAUCAGAGCCUCUCUAUCCGAUGUUGGGCCUUCCAUAAAUAUGUCAAACACCAGUAAAAUUCUAGACGUGAGGGGGUGUGUUGAAUCCCACAUCGGUUGUGGAAAGGGGUAAUGUGCCCCUUAUAUGGGCCAUAGGCACUCCUCCCCCUUGAGCUAGCUUUUGGGGUGAGUUAGGCCUGCCCCAAAUUUAAGAGCUCUCAAUGGGAGUUUCUGCUAGUUUGCAGCCUAACAUACCAGUUUCUUUCAAAAGAUCCAUAAUGUAUUUUCUCUGAGAAAUAAAAAUUUCCUUCUUUCAUAUAGCAGCCUCGAUUUCAAGGAAAUAUUGAAGUUUUCCUAAAUCUUUAAUUUCGAACUCUUGAGCCAAAAGUUUUUUCAGCCGAUUCAUCUCUUCAGUGUCAUCCCAUGUCAUUAUUAUGACAUCAACAUAGACUAUGAAAAGAGUAAUUUUACCCUUUUUGAUGUUCGAUAAAUAGAGUAUGGUCAGCAUUGCUCUGUUGAUAACUAAAAGAAAUCAUAGCUCUACUAAAUCGAUCAAACCAAGUUCUGGAUAACUGCUUCAACCCAUACAAAGCUUUUUUUUAACUUGCACACCUUUCCUUGUGUUUUUUUAUUAGCAAAUCUAGGAGGGAUUUCUAUAUACACUUCCUCCUCCAAGUCUCCGUGGAGAAAUGCAUUUUUCACGUGAAAUUGUUGCAAGACUCGAUCCAGAUUGGCAGAACAAUACUUUGAUUGAGUUCAUUUUGGCAACAAGGACAAAUGUCUCCUAAUAAUCCACUCCAUAGGUUUGAGUGUAUCUUUUAGCAAUUAGUCCGGUCUUGAAUCUUUCAAUUGAUUCAUCUGCUUUGUGUUUUACAGUGAACUCAUUUGCAGCCAACAGAUUUUUUUCCAGGUAGAAGAGACAUCAACUCCUAGGUCUAAUUUUUAGUCAAGGCUUUCAUUUUUUCAAUUAUUGCUCCCUUUCAAUUAGAAUUUUUGAGGGCUUUCUUCCAAUUUUGUGGGUUAGACACAGAGGAAAUAGACAAGGAAAAAACUCUAUAGGAUAAAGACAAAAAAUCAUAAGAGACAAAGUUAGAAAUAGAGUGCUUUGUGCAAGAUCUAACUCCUUUUCUUUGAGCAAUUGGUUUAUUUAGAAUAUCAAUGGGCUUAAGAUUUAGGAAUGACUCACUAGAUGAAGAAAAGGAAAAUUCAUGACAUUGACUAGGCUGCACAAUGGCUUUUUUUGCUUCUGUUGUCUCUUCUUGAGUAUCUCCUUAAAUCUAAUUUAUCUAAACGCCCAAUUAUCUUUUUCUGAUCACCAAUAGUCUCCCCCUAUAUAAUAGUCUCCUUUAGAGUAAAACGCUCUAGAGUUAUAGAACUAGGAAUCAUCUCUUCUCCGUCAUUGUUCUCCCCCUGAAAAGGUGAUGGAGUAGUACAAAAGUAAGGUUCAAACUCUCUAAAUGUAACGUCCAUACUGACAAAAUAUUUUCUAUAUGAAGGGUGGUAGCACUUGUAACCUUUCUGUGUGGAAGAGUACCCAAAAACCCACAUUUAAGAGACCUUGGAUCGAGCUUUCCACCUGUUCUAAUAUGAACAAAACACAUGUAUCCAAAUACCUUUGGUGGAACAAUAUAAGCAUUUUUCUCUUGUAGCACCUCUAAAGGGCUUUUAAAGGCAAGAGAUUUUAGAGACAUUCUAUUAAUGAGAUAAGCUGCAGUUAAGACUUCAUCUCCCCAAUAGGUUUUUAGAAAGUUCAUAGUGAAAAAGAGAGAUCGGGCUACUUCCAACAGGUGUCUAUUUUUUCUUUCAGCAAUACCGUUUUGGGCACUAGUGUAAGGACAACUAAUUUGAUGCAGUAUCCCAUUAAACUCCAUAUAAGCUAAGAAACGGCCAUCCAUAUACACUAUACUAUUAUCAGUUCUCAAAACUUUUAUCUUAGCAUCAAAUUGAGUACAAAUCAUCUUGUGAAAAAAUUGAAAGCAAGAAACUACAUCACUCUUUGCCUUUAUUAAAUAAACCUAAGUCAUGCGAGUGCAACAAUCAAUAAAAGUAACAAAUCAAUGAUUACUAGAUAAUGAGACCAUUUGAGUAGGUCUCCAAACGUCAGGAUAGAUGAUCAAAAAAAGGAUCGUACUCUUAUUAUUACGGGAGAGACAAGAGGUUUUUGUAUGCUUAGUAUACUCACAAGCAUCACAAACUAAAGAACCACAUUUAGCCUUGAAAAAUAAAUCAGGAUAAAGUUUAUCUAAAACAAAGAAGGAUGAGUGUCUUAAUCAUCAAUGCCACUGUAUGAUUUCCUGGUUGACAUUCUGAUUUCUUCUAAAAAGAGUCCGAGGUGAAUUCAAACCCAGAUUCCUUUCCAACAUAUAUAAGUCAUCGUGCAAUCUACCAUAGACAAUCUUCUUUCCAGUUUGAAGGUCCUGAAUGACACAAUGAUUAGGAAAAAAAACUCAAUUUUACAGUUAAGAGUUUUGGUAAGAGCACUGACAGAUAAAAGAUUAACAGGACAAGAGGAACAUGGAGAACAGAGGAUAGCUUAAUAUUGGAAGUACAAACAAUCGAUCCAGUUCCAGAGACAGGAAUAAAA